Molecule: transfer RNA, 73 nt
Filed under: Mus musculus (house mouse)
Lineage: Eukaryota; Metazoa; Chordata; Mammalia; Rodentia; Muridae
Rfam family: tRNA
About the family: Transfer RNA (tRNA) molecules are approximately 80 nucleotides in length.
Source: Rfam by way of RNAcentral
GAGGGUGUGGCUCAGAAGUUGACAGCUCUGGCCGCUCAUCCAGAGGACCUGAGUUCAAUUCCCAGCGCCCACA